GAUGAACGCUGGCGGCGCGCCUAACACAUGCAAGUCGAACGGCACCCCUCCUCGGAGGGAUGCGCGUGGCGAACGGCUGAGUAACACGUGGAGAACCUGCCCCCUCCCCCGGGAUAGCCGCCCGAAAGGACGGGUAAUACCGGAUACCCCGGGUUCCCGCAUGGCACCCGGGCUAAAGCCCCGCCGGGGGGGGAUGGCUGCGCGGCCCAUCAGGUCGACGGCGGGGUGACGGCCCACCGUGCCGACGAGGGGUAGCCGGGUAGAGAGACCGACCGGCUAGGUUGGGACUGAGACACGGCCCAGCCUCCGACGGGAGGCGGCAGUGGGGAAUCUUGCGGAGUGGGGGGAAGCCUGACGCAGCGACGGCGCGGGAGGGACGGAGGCCUUCGGGUAGUAAACCGCUUUCAGCAGGGAAGAGUCAAGACUGUACCUGCAGAAGAAGCCCCGGCUAACUACGUG
Molecule: ribosomal RNA, 459 nt
Filed under: uncultured bacterium
Lineage: Bacteria
Description: partial 16S ribosomal RNA
Rfam family: Bacterial small subunit ribosomal RNA
Source: RNAcentral